UGGAAUUUAUAAUUUUGCGGUUUUCAUAAUAUCCUGAAUAUUCCUGUUGAAGUCCAGCUCUAUAUUUUUCCUUACAUAUCUUAAAUAAAUUGUUUAUCCAAUGUUUACUUAUAUGGAAUAAAUAUUAGCACAUAUAUUAACUUUUCUGCAUUGCUUUAGGGCAACUUAAAAUUUAGCAGUACUUGCCUGACAUAUUUACUUUGCAACUCGUUAUUUACAAAUAAACGACACAUUUGCAAUUAAUUAACAUGUAUCCAGAAUGUAAAAACUGGGUCGUUUUGGAUAGAAGAAAAUGUUUAAACGAAAUUGGCUUGAUUUGCUUCGAGUUAGUCGAAUUUCCAACACCUUACCGACAUCUCCACAUCAUCUCUACAAUGGCAAGAAAGAACACAAUCGCGCUGCGAAGGACCAUCGAAAGGGCAGAGAAACUGCUUUAGUUAAUAAAUAUAUUGUAGUAAUAAUUGAUUAUGUUUGUUUGCCUGAUAAAAUAAAUACAAUUAAAUUUU
Long non-coding RNA from Dendroctonus ponderosae (mountain pine beetle), 506 nucleotides. RefSeq lists it as uncharacterized. Lineage: Eukaryota; Metazoa; Arthropoda; Insecta; Coleoptera; Curculionidae. The record is from RefSeq and is a predicted model, not a curated record. The transcript has 2 exons.